UGUGGGACAUUCUAAAAUCGUA
This 22-nucleotide non-coding RNA is filed under the name Arabidopsis thaliana (thale cress). Lineage: Eukaryota; Viridiplantae; Streptophyta; Magnoliopsida; Brassicales; Brassicaceae. The record is from RNAcentral.